RNAcentral lists this unclassified non-coding RNA (285 nucleotides) under uncultured fungus. Its description in RNAcentral is "partial contains small subunit ribosomal RNA, internal transcribed spacer 1, and 5.8S ribosomal RNA". The stretch from base 1 to 73 matches the Rfam family "Eukaryotic small subunit ribosomal RNA", at positions 1759 to 1831 of the family's 1831-position model. The record is from RNAcentral. Lineage: Eukaryota; Fungi.
UCAAACUUGGUCAUUUAGAGGAAGUAAAAGUCGUAACAAGGUCUCCGUUGGUGAACCAGCGGAGGGAUCAUUACCGAGUUAUCCAAAACUCCAAACCCUUUGUGAACCUUACCACCGUUUCCUCGGCGAGCCGCGGCUACCCUGUAGCUAGCCCGCACCCGCUAAUGGCUCGCCGGAGGACUACCAAACUCUGCUUUCCCCGGGAAUAUCUGAAUGCUUCAACUGAAAUAAGUUAAAACUUUCAACAACGGAUCUCUUGGUUCUGGCAUCGAUGAAGAACGCAGC